Long non-coding RNA from Sarcophilus harrisii (Tasmanian devil), 815 nucleotides. RefSeq lists it as uncharacterized. Lineage: Eukaryota; Metazoa; Chordata; Mammalia; Dasyuromorphia; Dasyuridae. The record is from RefSeq and is a predicted model, not a curated record. The transcript is spliced from 2 exons.
UCAUCACCCUGCACCGGAAUUUAUCCGGCGACUAGAAAAAAACGACGCGGGAAAAAGAAUGGAUCUCCCAGGGAUUAAUCGGGCGGAAGUAGAAGUGGGGUAAAGGGAUAAGGAGCGCUUUUCUUUCCUCAUCCCCGUCGCGCCGGAAGAUGGUCGGCGGGAGUGAGUCACGUGGUGCGGGAGCGUCUGCUGAGGAAGAAGGAGGUUGGCCGGGGCCGAGCUCGGCUUUACGGGCCGGUGCCUCGGGAAUGGCAGGAGUUAAUUAUCCUAACAUUAAGUAGCAUUGGUGGCUUGGAGCCGCCGAGGUCACACCAUUUGGGGCGAGGACUAGGGCAGUUGCCUUCUCCAGCGCAGGCCUCCUUGCUCAGUGUACGUACACACAACCCUAUAUAGUUCACGGAGCGAUUUACUUCCGGAAAUAGAGAAGCCUAGAAUAAUCUGUACCCAGUGCACAGAAUAAAAUCCAGGAUUACAAAGCCGAAGAGGGACAUUGGUCUCUACGAGCCAGCUGUGAAUGAACAUUUUUGCCUGCUGUUGCAGAUUCCCGAAACAUUCCCCGGCUCCCACACCCCCUUCGCUUCACUCAAAUCCAUCUAAAACCCCGUCUUCUAUAAGAUCUCCCUUAAUGCUAGUGCCCUCUCUCUACUGAUGAACCGUCUGAAAGAGAUUUUUUGGUUUUAUCUCAGUUUUCUCAACUGUAUGAGGAUCAAAUAAAAUGUAAAACACUCAGUACAUAAAUACUAUUACUGUUUACUGACUGACUUGGAACUCCAGGUUGUGAACCCCUACAAUUAAAAAAAAAAAAAAAAAAAAAA